GCCCGCGUAGCUCAAUUGGCAGAGCGCAGCAUUCGUAAUGCUGAGGUUGUCGGUUCGACUCCGACCGGGGGCU
This 73-nucleotide transfer RNA is filed under the name Planctomycetales bacterium. RNAcentral's name for it is "tRNA-Thr". It matches the Rfam family "tRNA". From Rfam's summary of the family: Transfer RNA (tRNA) molecules are approximately 80 nucleotides in length. Their secondary structure includes four short double-helical elements and three loops (D, anti-codon, and T loops). Further hydrogen bonds mediate the characteristic L-shaped molecular structure. tRNAs have two regions of fundamental functional importance: the anti-codon, which is responsible for specific mRNA codon recognition, and the 3' end, to which the tRNAs corresponding amino acid is attached (by aminoacyl-tRNA synthetases). tRNAs cope with the degeneracy of the genetic code in two manners: having more than one tRNA (with a specific anti-codon) for a particular amino acid; and 'wobble' base-pairing, i.e. permitting non-standard base-pairing at the 3rd anti-codon position. Lineage: Bacteria; Pseudomonadati; Planctomycetota; Planctomycetia; Planctomycetales. The record is from RNAcentral.